UAGCUCAGUUGGUAGAGCGUCUGCCUUACAAGCAGAAUGUCGGCGGUUCGACUCCGU
Molecule: transfer RNA, 57 nt
Filed under: Neisseria meningitidis
Lineage: Bacteria; Pseudomonadati; Pseudomonadota; Betaproteobacteria; Neisseriales; Neisseriaceae
Also listed under: 1 other name
Description: tRNA-Val
Rfam family: tRNA
About the family: Transfer RNA (tRNA) molecules are approximately 80 nucleotides in length. Their secondary structure includes four short double-helical elements and three loops (D, anti-codon, and T loops).
Source: RNAcentral